AACGAACGCUGGCGGCAUGCCUAACACAUGCAAGUCGAACGAGACCUUCGGGUCUAGUGGCGCACGGGUGCGUAACGCGUGGGAACCUGCCCUUAGGUUCGGAAUAACUCCCCGAAAGGGGUGCUAAUACCGGAUAAUGUCUUCGGACCAAAGAUUUAUCGCCUUUGGAUGGGCCCGCGUUGGAUUCGCUAGUUGGUAGGGUAAAAGCCUACCAAGGCGACGAUCCAUAGCUGGUCUGAGAGGAUGAUCAGCCACACUGGGACUGAGACACGGCCCAGACUCCUACGGGAGGCAGCAGUGGGGAAUAUUGGACAAUGGGCGAAAGCCUGAUCCAGCAAUGCCGCGUGAGUGAUGAAGGCCUUAGGGUUGUAAAGCUCUUUUACCCGGGAUGAUAAUGACAGUACCGGGAGAAUAAGCCCCGGCUAACUCCGUG
This 433-nucleotide ribosomal RNA is filed under the name uncultured bacterium. RNAcentral describes it as "partial 16S ribosomal RNA". It matches the Rfam family "Bacterial small subunit ribosomal RNA", at positions 29 to 507 of the family's 1533-position model. The record is from RNAcentral.